GAUGAACGCUGGCGGCGUGCUUAACACAUGCAAGUCGAACGGAAAGGCCCAAGCUUGCUUGGGUACUCGAGUGGCGAACGGGUGAGUAACACGUGGGUGAUCUGCCCUGCACUUCGGGAUAAGCCUGGGAAACUGGGUCUAAUACCGGAUAGGACCACAUUUUGGAUGGUGUGGUGGAAAGUUUUUCGGUGUGGGAUGAGCUCGCGGCCUAUCAGCUUGUUGGUGGGGUAAUGGCCUACCAAGGCGUCGACGGGUAGCCGGCCUGAGAGGGUGUACGGCCACAUUGGGACUGAGAUACGGCCCAGACUCCUACGGGAGGCAGCUGUGGGGAAUAUUGCACAAUGGGCGCAAGCCUGAUGCAGCGACGCCGCGUGGGGGAUGACGGCCUUCGGGUUGUAAACUCCUUUCGCUAGGGACGAAGCGCAAGUGACGGUACCUGGAGAAGAAGCACCGGCUAACUACGUG
This 465-nucleotide ribosomal RNA is filed under the name uncultured bacterium. RNAcentral describes it as "partial 16S ribosomal RNA". It matches the Rfam family "Bacterial small subunit ribosomal RNA", at positions 28 to 507 of the family's 1533-position model. The record is from RNAcentral.